UUUGCCUUUAAUCUUAUUACUGAUCCACUAAAACUUUUCAGUUUUGAAAUUUUAUUUGUAUUCACGUCAUUUGAAAUUUACUGCAAGUUACCUUUUGAUGCUCUUUGAAUAUUUUGAGUGUUUUUAAUCUUCUUUACAUAAAAAAUACAUGGAAAAGAAAAUGGAAGCGGGACAAGAACUUUUCAUAUGAGAGAAAAAUGAGGAAAUGGGAAAAGAGGG
This 219-nucleotide long non-coding RNA is filed under the name Carica papaya (papaya). Its description in RNAcentral is "long non-coding RNA (CPAP_LNC010102)". The record is from RNAcentral. Lineage: Eukaryota; Viridiplantae; Streptophyta; Magnoliopsida; Brassicales; Caricaceae.